CACUUUGAUAUUAGGUAGCAUUUGGUUGUAACAUUAAGUUUAUUUUAUUUUAUUUAUUUUUGUUUUUUUUUGAAGAAAAACACUUAAUUUGAUAUUCUCAAUUUUUUUUUGUGUUAUUUUUAGGAAAAAUGUAAACUAAUAAUCCCACCUUUUGAAAUUCCAAUAACAAUUCCACCUUUGGUAGGGGUCUUUCAUUAACAAUCCCUGACCGGUUUGAUUAAUAUAGUAACCAGAUUUCUUAGGUUUAAGACACGUGUCGGAUUUUAAUAGAGUUAUUCUAAUUUUUAAUAAUUAAAAAAAAUAGCAAAAUUAAUUUAAAAAAACUAAAACCCCUAACCUCUACUUCGGCCUGCCGCAGCCCCGCCACUGCAUUCCCCUCCCCAUCUCCCGCCCUUGCUUUCCCCAGCAACCCAACUUACCCCCCAAGGUGCCGGAUCCAACCACUGCAUUCCCCACCGCAUCGCCGCCCUAUCCCCGUAGUAGUGUUAGUCAUCAAUGGCGGAUUAUUAAGAUCAGUUUCCAAGGAAAGUAAUAAACCCUUAGUGAGAACCUUACAACUUUCUUCCUAACUCAUAUUUCUUCGUCCCUCUUAAUUCAUUGUCUCUUUCACCGCUACCCCCUUUUCGCUCCCGGUGCUCCCUAUAGCCACCGUCCACCAUAGCCUCCCUCUGCCGCAACAACCCAUGCCAACGAUUGCAAUCUCUAGGCCUCCAUCCUUGGGGUCUUCCACCUUUAAGUUAGGGUUACGGUUAGUUCAGCUUGUCGAGAAUCCAAGUCAUUUGGGUGAACGAGAUGCAGAAAUCCAAGGCAAUACCAGUUAUAAUCGGAGGAAUGGUGUUUGAUAUACUUCCUACUGCCAAAAUGACCAUUUCUAACAAGGGGAGUGAGAUACCAUGAGUUAGAGCAUUGGAAGUUCAAAGACGAUGGAAAAAAAAUACUUCCGCCAUGCUUCAGGGCCACAAAAACAUGCUUCCUUAUAUGUAGCUGCCAAUGAUACUGCUAUUGUUGCUGCUGGUGCUAAUGUCUACUACAGUUAUGAUGUCUGUUGCUGCUGAUGUUUGUUGCUACAGCUGCUUGUUGGUCUCGUACUACUGACUAAUGUUACUGCAAGUUGACGCUUGAUGCUAUUACUUAUAGCAUAGUACUGCUGACUGCCGUUACUGCAAGCUCCUUCUAGCCACUGAUAUUGCUAGCAUGGUACUUUUAAAUGCAGUUACUAUUAGCUACUGCUAGCUGUUGUCUAUUAGCUACCGCGAUGAUUUUUUUUUUUUUUAAAUAAAUAUUGUGCUAAACAUGUUUGUGAAUUUGGCGGUCAAGCUAGAGACCAAGGUUCACUUUCUUUUUGUUUUGUUUAAUAAAUUGUUGAGACAAGAAAAAAAUUGUGUUGAUGGAUACUUUUUAAAGAAGCUAUGAAAUUUUAUCAAUUCAAAUUA
Molecule: long non-coding RNA, 1433 nt
Organism: Chenopodium quinoa (quinoa)
Lineage: Eukaryota; Viridiplantae; Streptophyta; Magnoliopsida; Caryophyllales; Amaranthaceae
Exons: 3
Source: RefSeq, a predicted model, not a curated record